RNAcentral lists this ribosomal RNA (430 nucleotides) under uncultured archaeon. RNAcentral's name for it is "bacterial SSU rRNA". It matches the Rfam family "Archaeal small subunit ribosomal RNA", at positions 474 to 903 of the family's 1478-position model. The record is from RNAcentral.
UACCAGCUCUCCGAGUGGUAGGGACGAUUAUUGGGCUUAAAGCGUCCGUAGCUGGCUUAGCAAGUCUCCUGUUAAAUUCAGCGACCUAAUCGUUGAGCCGCGGGAGAUACUACUAGGCUAGGAGGCGGGAGAGGUCGACGGUACUUUCGGGGUAGGGGUGAAAUCCUAUAAUCCCGGGAGGACCACCAGUGGCGAAGGCUGUUGACUAGAACGCGCUCGACGGUGAGGGACGAAAGCUGGGGUAGCGAACCGGAUUUAGAUACCCGGGUAGUCCCAGCUGUAAACUAUGCGGGCUAGGUGUUGGGGUGGCUACGGGCCACUUCAGUGCCGCAGGAAAGCCAUUAAGCCCGCCGCCUGGGGAGUACGGCCGCAAGGCUGAAACUUAAAGGAAUUGGCGGGGGAGCACCACAAGGCGUGAAGCUUGCGGUUC